AACAGGGCUUUAAGUCUAAAAUACCGAACUUGUCCUUUAAAGCAUUUUUAAACUUUAAAAACAUGUUGUUUGUCGUGACUCUACAUUGUAAUACUCACCCGGUUACAGUAAUUUGUGUAAUGUUGGACAUACGAUGAAACAACACGACAUUGAUACAGCAAUUUGACCUCACACUCAUUUUUAUCAGCAGAUUAGUGUGCUUUGAGUACACCACAGUUCUGUAAGUGAAAAAUUAAUUCAUAUUUAUGUGUGUUUCUUUCUCAGUAAGGACUAACUUUAACUGACUUUCUGUCUGUCUGUCUGUUCUCAACCAAACGGUCAUUCAAGACCUUUUAAAGCAAAAACAUUUCCCGUGCAAGUUUGAAUCUCUCUCAGUAAGGACUUAUUGACUGGCUGUCUGUUCUCGACCAAACGGUCAUUCUUACUCAUAAAAAACUUUUAAAGCACAAGUGUGUCCCGCGCAAGUUUGAAUUUCUCUCAGUAAGGACUGACGGAUGGCCAUUCACUCAUAAAACCUUUUAAAGGUUAGCACGAAUGCAUCCAGCAUAAUUUUGGAUCUUUACCAUUGAGGAGACUGGCUGACUGUUCUCAACCAACCAUCAUUCACACGCAAAAACUUUAAAGGUAAGUAUGAACGUGUCUAGAGCAGUUUUGGAUCUUUACCAUUGAGGAGGUUGACUGACUUUCAUCUACCAACUGUCAUUAACACAACAAAAACUAAAGAAAUGUUACUACAAGUGGACCUAUAUAGUUACUCAUUAUGCUGUGAGUACACCACAAUUUUAUCAGUGAAACAAUAAUGUUUGUUUUUUCUCAAUGCUUGGCAUAGACAAAUGUGACCCUGUGUAAUUUGGAAAUUUCAUGGGAAAUGUGUACGUCUUAAAAAUGUUUAAAUGUCGUUUGAGUUAAGGAACAGUACACCGAUUUAUUAAAAGUGUGCAAUACACUGAGUCUAUUAAAGUCAUAAAGGAAUACUUGAUAUAUUUCAUAAAGGAAUGUGUAAAUCUAAUAUUAGUUUUAAUGUGAAUUUGGACAGAAAAGCAAAAAAUCUUUUGUAAAAUAAACAAUUGUUUAAUAAACUGUAAUAAUUUUACCCUUUUCUGUCAUCAUUUUUUAUACUAAUGUUUGGUUUAAGGCAAUCGGUUUCCUCAAACGGUUUAAGUGGAGUUAACUUUUCGGGUUUUACAGUGUAACAACAAUGUACAAAAUCAAAAAGAGGAAAGCAUAUUUUAAAAACAAAAAAAUUAAUUGGAUCCCAUUAAAAUCCUCUACAAAUUAUCCUAAAGGAUAUUUUUGUCGUGUCUUAAAAUCCUUUAGAAAUAUCCUCUAAUAGAAUCCUAUAGGAUUUUUUCUAAUGGAAUCCCAUAGAUGUUUUGUAAUGGAAUCCUUUAGGAUUUUUCUAAUGGAAUCCUAUAAGAUUUUUCUAAUGGAAUCCUAUAAGAUUUUUCUAAUGGAAUCCUGUAGAAUUUUCUAAUGGAAUCCCAUAAGAUUUUUCUAAUGGAAUCCUAUAAGAAUUUUCUAAUGGAAUCCCAUAAGAUUUUUCUAAUGGAAUCCUGUAAGAUUUUUCUAAUGGAAUCCUAUAAGAUUUUUCUAAUGGAAUCCUAUAAGAUUUUUCUAAUGGAAUCCUAUAGGAUUUUUCUAAUGGAACGGUUCCAAAAUAUGAUAGAAAUUCUAAUUGGAUUCCUGUACAGGAUUCUUAUUAAAAAUCCUAUAGGAUUUUUUGACAAGGGUGGUGGACAGGCACACUUCUGCUGGCUUGAUGGUAUUCAUUUUCUUUUACAUAUUUGAUUUAAAGAUGUUUAAAAUGGUGCCAUAUCAUUAAAUUUCUCUGACAUGUCUGAAUGUUUAUAUUUGUAAUGGUCAUUUAUUAUUUUUAUCAUUUCAAUAUACAGGUGUAACUAAAUGGAGUACAAAGUCUGAGCCAUCCCAGGACCUUUAGAAAAUGUUUACACUUCAGCCAACACUGCAAUGAAGUGUACAAUAACUGCUUACCAGGUUAUGUUGGAAGAGGAAAACGAGGAGAGAUGCAAGGCUUUUACUCCGAAAACACCCAUCCAGGGGUUUGCAGUGAGUGGUGCAUGAUGCUACAGGAGGAAUAACUCUGUAUAACACAUCAGUUCUGUUCUGAAAGUCUUGUAAAUACCUCCAGGAUUGUUGUUCGUGAUUCUGAUUUCUGACAUCUACUAGGGAGUGCCCCUAAUAUUAUGUGUAUAUGUUUAUGAAGAAGUUUAUUUGUCUCAAAUCAUGCUCUUCUGCAAAUCAUGCACCAAAGGGUACUGUAUUUCUUAUGUUUUAUAUCUUAAGGACCACAAUGGAAAUAAGCCUAUGGGCUUUUUGUAUUUUUAUCCUUUUGAACACUUCAUGUUGAUUGUUGUUCAAUAAAGUAUUUAAUCAAUUCAA
Molecule: non-coding RNA, 2400 nt
Organism: Paramisgurnus dabryanus
Lineage: Eukaryota; Metazoa; Chordata; Actinopteri; Cypriniformes; Cobitidae
Source: RefSeq, a predicted model, not a curated record